CCCGCUGAACUUAAGCAUAUCAGUAAGCGGAGGAAAAGAAACUAACAAGGAUUCCCCCAGUAACGGCGAGUGAAGAGGGAAGAGCCCAACUUUAAAAUCUCGCGGUUCCACCGCGCGAAUUGUGGUUUAGAGAAGCGCCUUCUGGGUCCGCGAGGGUGCAAGUCCCAUGGAAUGGAGCAUCGGAGAGGGUGAGAAUCCCGUCCACAGCCCGCCGCGGUAUCCUGUGCGAUGCGUCUUCGAAGAGUCGGAUAGCUUGGGAAUGCUGUCCAAAAUGGGUGGUAAACACCAUCUAAGGCUAAAUAUUGGCGAGAGACCGAUAGCGAACAAGUACCGUGAGGGAAAGAUGAAAAGAACUUUGAAAAGAGAGUCAAACAGUGCGUGAAAUUGUCUAAAGGGAAACGCUUGAAACCAGCGCUUGCGCUCGCCGUGAUCAGCCGGUCACCUCGGCCGGUGCACUCAUCGGUGUGGCGCGGGUCAGCGUCGGCUGUACCUGGGGAAGAAAGAUUGGGGAGGGUGCUCUGUCACCAGCCCGCCUUCUGACGCCCUGGGUGCGGCCGAGGAUCGCAGCGAUGCCAACGGGCCCAGUCGUCACCCUGACGCCUCCUGCGGGAACAACUCGUUGAUCUCGUGGGCGGUCCGAAGGGCGGCGGCCGGUCAGGCCACGUCUUCGCUUGGGAUGCUGACGAAAUGGUUUCAAACGACCCGUCUUGAAACACGG
RNAcentral lists this ribosomal RNA (718 nucleotides) under uncultured fungus. Its description in RNAcentral is "eukaryotic LSU rRNA". It matches the Rfam family "Eukaryotic large subunit ribosomal RNA", at positions 24 to 664 of the family's 3401-position model. The record is from RNAcentral. Lineage: Eukaryota; Fungi.